RNAcentral lists this ribosomal RNA (253 nucleotides) under uncultured bacterium. RNAcentral's name for it is "partial 16S ribosomal RNA". It matches the Rfam family "Bacterial small subunit ribosomal RNA", at positions 524 to 776 of the family's 1533-position model. The record is from RNAcentral.
UACGUAGGGAGCAAGCGUUGUCCGGAAUUACUGGGCGUAAAGAGCUCGUAGGUGGUUUGUCGCGUUGUCCGUGAAAACUCACAGCUUAACUGUGGGCGUGCGGGCGAUACGGGCAGACUGGAGUACUGCAGGGGAGACUGGAAUUCCUGGUGUAGCGGUGGAAUGCGCAGAUAUCAGGAGGAACACCGGUGGCGAAGGCGGGUCUCUGGGCAGUAACUGACGCUGAGGAGCGAAAGCGUGGGGAGCGAACAGG